Molecule: ribosomal RNA, 471 nt
Filed under: uncultured organism
Description: partial 16S ribosomal RNA
Rfam family: Bacterial small subunit ribosomal RNA
Source: RNAcentral
CACUCCUACGGGAGGCAGCAGUGGGGAAUUUUGGACAAUGGGCGAAAGCCUGAUCCAGCCAUGCCGCGUGCAGGAUGAAGGCCUUCGGGUUGUAAACUGCUUUUGUACGGAACGAAACGGCCUUUUCUAAUAAAGAGGGCUAAUGACGGUACCGUAAGAAUAAGCACCGGCUAACUACGUGCCAGCAGCCGCGGUAAUACGUAGGGUGCAAGCGUUAAUCGGAAUUACUGGGCGUAAAGCGUGCGCAGGCGGUUAUGUAAGACAGUUGUGAAAUCCCCGGGCUCAACCUGGGAACUGCAUCUGUGACUGCAUAGCUAGAGUACGGUAGAGGGGGAUGGAAUUCCGCGUGUAGCAGUGAAAUGCGUAGAUAUGCGGAGGAACACCGAUGGCGAAGGCAAUCCCCUGGACCUGUACUGACGCUCAUGCACGAAAGCGUGGGGAGCAAACAGGAUUAGAAACCCUGGUAGUCCC